CCUUGGAUGACAAAUUUCCAUCUAGGAGCUGUAAACUCUUAUCAAUUAAUUGUCUAGA
RNAcentral lists this transfer RNA (58 nucleotides) under Ardeacarus ardeae. RNAcentral describes it as "tRNA-Tyr". Lineage: Eukaryota; Metazoa; Arthropoda; Arachnida; Sarcoptiformes; Pterolichidae. The record is from RNAcentral.